UCAAGUUCAUAUCAACAUUUCCUAGUUUCUUGUGUAGCCCAUUAGUCCGCCAGUUAUACAACAUCCGAUGAAUAAAAUCCCUGGUGUUUUUCACAAAGAUCAGUUAGAUUUUGUCAGGGAUCAAUUUCUAGUUCCUAUUCCUCAAAAAAGACCGGCUUAAUUCGUCAUCUUAUUAGAUAGUUGAUCCUGAUAUUGAUGAUUGUAAAGAGAGAGGAAAGGAAAUAGUGAAGAAAAUGGCAUUAAUAGAAAGGGUAUUCAAGUGCGAGUGUUGGAGCCGGCGACGAGAG
This 287-nucleotide long non-coding RNA is filed under the name Zostera marina. RNAcentral's name for it is "long non-coding RNA (ZMAR_LNC001104)". The record is from RNAcentral. Lineage: Eukaryota; Viridiplantae; Streptophyta; Magnoliopsida; Alismatales; Zosteraceae.